This is a non-coding RNA of Caerostris darwini, 74 nucleotides long. NCBI's taxonomy places the organism in Eukaryota, Metazoa, Arthropoda, Arachnida, Araneae, Araneidae. The record is from the annotation of a GenBank genome assembly.
AUCACCGAAGUCAAGCAUCAUUGGGCGCGGUCAGUACUUGGGUGGGUGACCACCUGGGAACACCGCGUGCCGUU